RNAcentral lists this ribosomal RNA (307 nucleotides) under uncultured bacterium. RNAcentral describes it as "partial 16S ribosomal RNA". It matches the Rfam family "Bacterial small subunit ribosomal RNA", at positions 524 to 828 of the family's 1533-position model. The record is from RNAcentral.
UACAGAGGGGGCAAGCGUUAUUCGGAAUUAUUGGGCGUAAAGGGCGCGUAGGCGGCUUUGCAAGUGGCGGGUGAAAUCCCUCGGCUUAACCGAGGAACUGCCUGCCAGACUGUGAGGCUUGAGACCGGGAGAGGUGAGUGGAAUUCCCAGUGUAGCGGUGAAAUGCGUAGAUAUUGGGAGGAACGACCAGUGGCGAAGGCGGCUCACUGGACCGGAACUGGACGCUGAGGCGCGAAAGCGUGGGGAGCAAACAGGGAGUUAAGAUGACCCUGGAGUCCCGAGAACCAACGAUCGUCCUGCUACCGUA